CAGUAGCCGCGGGAAUACGUAGGGUGCAAGCGUUAAUCGGAAUUACUGGGCGUAAAGCGUGCGCAGGCGGUUAUAUAAGACAGAUGUGAAAUCCCCGGGCUCAACCUGGGAACUGCAUUUGUGACUGUAUAGCUAGAGUACGGCAGAGGGGGAUGGAAUUCCGCGUGUAGCAGUGAAAUGCGUAGAUAUGCGGAGGAACACCGAUGGCGAAGGCAAUCCCCUGGGCCUGUACUGAAGCUCAUGCACGAAAGCGUGGGGAGCAAACAGGAUUAGAUACCCCCGUAGUCCCUGUCUCUUAUAC
Molecule: ribosomal RNA, 301 nt
Filed under: uncultured bacterium
Lineage: Bacteria
Description: partial 16S ribosomal RNA
Rfam family: Bacterial small subunit ribosomal RNA
Source: RNAcentral